RNAcentral lists this small RNA (610 nucleotides) under Arabidopsis thaliana (thale cress). Its description in RNAcentral is "ATSL023160". Lineage: Eukaryota; Viridiplantae; Streptophyta; Magnoliopsida; Brassicales; Brassicaceae. The record is from RNAcentral.
CUAUUGGCCACACAUACAAUCUACCUUUGUAGAAACCAUGCAAAGGUGUGUAAUCCUGAGGUAUGAAAGGCGAGGGCUCCGUGUUCAGGCCUGAGCAAAAUAUUCGUUCGAUCCGUUUCGACUCGCUAUUCGAUUUGAUUUGAUUCAAAAAAUCCGAAUAUCCAUAAGAUUUUGGAGCAAAGCAAAUAGGAAAAUGUAGUAUUCGUAAAAAUCGAAGCAAAUAACAAAUACUAUUUUUUUUAAAGUCGGAUAUUCGCUUCGAUCCGUAUAUAUAUCAUAAUAUAGGUUGUGGAUUUGUAUAUGUUGGGAUUUGGGCUUGUAUUUGUAUCCUUUGGGCAUGUGUUUUUUUUUGUGACACAGUUUUUAUUAGAUAAGUGGAAUUUUUUAAAAUAAAAUUGUUUCAUAUUUUAUAUUUUAUCCUAAAAUUGUCGUUUUAGUUUCCAAUCCAUCAAAUAUAAGAGCGACGUUUCUGUUUCCUUUCUUCGACCUUUCACUAUUUUUAUCACUCAAUUUGGUUACAUAAUUUAUAACCAGAAAAUUUCCAGUUGCUCUCAAUCUCACACUCGUAAGCCAUAAGGUAAGAAAUUUGAAAUCAUGUUAAAUAAUUUUU